GAAAAAAGGCAAUAAAGGCCAAAAUUAUCAAAUUCUAGUUAGACCCUAGGGGCAUAUUUGAGCUAUUACCAUCUUUUGCAACCAAGUCCAAAGCUCCAUUACAACCUGCUAAGUCCUCCUAGGCUAGAUACGGUGAAGUUUUCUUCGACAGCUUCGAGCUCACCC
Telopea speciosissima is the source of this 165-nucleotide long non-coding RNA. RefSeq lists it as uncharacterized. NCBI's taxonomy places the organism in Eukaryota, Viridiplantae, Streptophyta, Magnoliopsida, Proteales, Proteaceae. The transcript has 3 exons. The record is from RefSeq and is a predicted model, not a curated record.